ACACGCUGGCGGCGUGGAUUAGGCAUGCAAGUCGAACGGUAUGGACCUUUCGGGGUUCAGAGAGUGGCGAACGGGUGAGUAACACGUAGGUAAUCUACCCUCAAGACGGGGACAACCCAGGGAAACUUGGGCUAAUACCGGAUGUGUGUAGUGGCUAUUUUUCUGAUUAUCAUUAUUUACGUAAGUGAGUAAUAAUAAGAAGGGAAAGUGGUUAUUACAUAAAAGGUGGCGUAAGCUGCCGCUUGGGGAUGAGCCUGCGUCCUAUUAGUUAGUUGGUGAGGUAACGGCUUACCAAGGCGACGAUAGGUAGGCGGCCUUAACGGGUGGUCGCCCACACUGGGAUUGAGAUACGGCCCAGACUCCUACGGGAGGCAGCAGUCGAGAAUAGUCUACAAUGGACGGAAGUCUGAUAGUGCGACGCCGCGUGAACGAAGAAUCCCUUCGGGGUGUAAAGUUCUUUUAUACGUGAGCAGUGUCCUUUAUAUUAAUAGUAUAAGGGGAGAGAUAUUAGCGUAUGAAUAAGCAACGGCUAACUCCGUG
Molecule: ribosomal RNA, 540 nt
Filed under: uncultured bacterium
Lineage: Bacteria
Description: bacterial SSU rRNA
Rfam family: Bacterial small subunit ribosomal RNA
Source: RNAcentral